Molecule: ribosomal RNA, 482 nt
Filed under: uncultured bacterium
Lineage: Bacteria
Description: partial 16S ribosomal RNA
Rfam family: Bacterial small subunit ribosomal RNA
Source: RNAcentral
AUUGAACGCUGGCGGCAUGCCUUACACAUGCAAGUCGAACGGUAACAGGUCUUCGGAUGCUGACGAGUGGCGAACGGGUGAGUAAUACAUCGGAACGUGCCCGAUCGUGGGGGAUAACGAAGCGAAAGCUUUGCUAAUACCGCAUAAGAUCUACGGAUGAAAGCAGGGGACCGCAAGGCCUUGCGCGAACGGAGCGGCCGAUGGCAGAUUAGGUAGUUGGUGGGAUAAAAGCUUACCAAGCCGACGAUCUGUAGCUGGUCUGAGAGGACGACCAGCCACACUGGGACUGAGACACGGCCCAGACUCCUACGGGAGGCAGCAGUGGGGAAUUUUGGACAAUGGGCGAAAGCCUGAUCCAGCCAUGCCGCGUGCAGGAUGAAGGCCUUCGGGUUGUAAACUGCUUUUGUACGGAACGAAAAGACUCUGGUUAAUAUCUGGGGUCCAUGACGGUACCGUAAGAAUAAGCACCGGCUAACUACGUG